This 488-nucleotide ribosomal RNA is filed under the name uncultured bacterium. RNAcentral's name for it is "bacterial SSU rRNA". It matches the Rfam family "Bacterial small subunit ribosomal RNA", at positions 9 to 491 of the family's 1533-position model. The record is from RNAcentral.
GAGUUUGAUCCUGGCUCAGGAUGAACGCUGGCGGCGUGCUUAACACAUGCAAGUCGAACGGGGGUGCCAUGAACGAAGCAUCAGUUUACUGAUAUGGAGGGAAUGGGACCCUAGUGGCGGACGGGUGAGUAACGCGUGGGUAACCUGCCCCAUACCGGGGGAUAACACUUAGAAAUAGGUGCUAAUACCGCAUAAGCGCUCGGUACUGCAUGGUACAGUGUGAAAAACUCCGGUGGUAUGGGAUGGACCCGCGUCUGAUUAGCUUGUUGGCGGGGUAACGGCCCACCAAGGCGACGAUCAGUAGCCGGCCUGAGAGGGUGGACGGCCACAUUGGGACUGAGACACGGCCCAAACUCCUACGGGAGGCAGCAGUGGGGAAUAUUGCACAAUGGGGGAAACCCUGAUGCAGCGACGCCGCGUGAGUGAAGAAGUAUUUAGGUAUUAAAGCUCUGUCAGCAGGGAAGAAAUGACGGUACCUACCAAGAGCC